This 332-nucleotide ribosomal RNA is filed under the name uncultured eukaryote. RNAcentral's name for it is "partial 18S ribosomal RNA". It matches the Rfam family "Eukaryotic small subunit ribosomal RNA", at positions 1470 to 1796 of the family's 1831-position model. The record is from RNAcentral.
CCCUUAGAUGUUCUGGGCCGCACGCGCGCUACACUGUUCGACGCAGCGAGUCUUAACCUUGACCGAAAGGUUUGGGUAAUCUUCAGCAAAGUCAAACGUGAUGGGGAUCGAUCAUUGCAAUUAUUGAUCGUGAACGAGGAAUUCCUAGUAAGUGCAAGUCAUCAGCUUGCGCUGAUUACGUCCCUGCCCUUUGUACACACCGCCCGUCGCUACUACCGAUUGAAUGGUUUAGUGAGAUCUCUGGAUUGACGCUGGCUAGGGGGCGACCCUUGGCCAGACUGCUCGAGAAACUGCUCAAACUUGAUCAUUUAGAGGAAGUAAAAGUCGUAACA